GGGGGCCACCAUACCAGCACCAACUCACCGGAUCCCAUCGGAACUCCGAAGUUAAGCGUGCUUGGGUGAGAGUAGUACUAGGAUAGGUGACCCCCUGGAAAGUCCUCGUGUUACAUCCU
Molecule: ribosomal RNA, 119 nt
Filed under: Olea europaea subsp. europaea
Lineage: Eukaryota; Viridiplantae; Streptophyta; Magnoliopsida; Lamiales; Oleaceae
Source: RNAcentral